AGAGUUUGAUCCUGGCUCAGGAUGAACGCUAGCGGCAGGCUUAAUACAUGCAAGUCGAGGGGCAUCGGAUCCCUUCGGGGAUGCCGGCGACCGGCGAACGGGUGAGUAACACGUAUGGAACCUGCCCUUAACUGGGGGAUAGCCCCGAGAAAUCGGGGUUAAUACCCCAUACCAUAAUGAAGGGGCAUCCCUUCAUUAUGAAAGCUCCGGCGGUUAAGGAUGGCCAUGCGGUCCAUUAGCUUGUUGGUGAGGUAACUGCUCACCAAGGCCACGAUGGAUAGCUGAUCUGAGAGGAUGGUCAGCCACAUUGGCACUGAGACACGGGCCAAACUCCUACGGGAGGCAGCAGUAGGGAAUCUUGGUCAAUAGGCGAAAGCCUGAACCAGCCAUGCCGCGUGCAGGAUGAAGGCCCUACGGGUCGUAAACUGCUUUUAUUCGGGAAGAAAAAGUCUGUGUCCACAGACCUUGACGGUACCGAAUGAAUAAGGACCGGCCAACUCCGUGCCAGCAGCCGCGGUAAUACGGAGGGUCCAAGCGUUAUCCGGAUUCACUGGGUUUAAAGGGUGCGCAGGCGGUCAAGUAAGUCAGUGGUGAAAGCCUUCGGCUCAACCGGAGAAUUGCCAUUGAAACUACCUGACUUGAGUGUAGUUGANGUGGGCGGAAUGUAGCAUGUAGCGGUGAAAUGCAUANAUAUGCUACAGAACACCGAUAGCGAAAGCAGCUCACCAGACUACGACUGACGCUGAGGCACGAAAGCAUGGGUAGCAAACAGGAUUAGAUACCCUGGUAGUCCAUGCCGUAAACUAUGAACACUCGGAGUUUGUCGCCUAGCGAUAAGCUCCCUAGCGAAAGCGUUAAGUGUUCCACCUGGGGAGUACGGCCGCAAGGCUAAAACUCAAAGGAAUUGACGGGGGCCCGCACAAGCGGAGGAGCAUGUGGUUUAAUUCGAUGGUACGCGAGGAACCUUACCUGGGCUAUAAUGCCUGUGACAGCUCCGGAAACGGGGUCUUCCUUCGGGACACAGUGCAAGGUGCUGCAUGGCUGUCGUCAGCUCGUGCCGUGAGGUGUUGGGUUAAGUCCCUUAACGAGCGCAACCCCUAUCUUUAGUUGCCAGCACUUUUAGGUGGGCACUCUAAAGAAACUGCCUGCGUAAGCAGCGAGGAAGGAGGGGAUGACGUCAAGUCAUCAUGGCCCUUAUGCCCAGGGCUACACACAUGCUACAAUGGUGAGUACAAGGGGAAGCCACUUGGCGACAAGGAGCUAAUCCCUAAAGCUCAUCACAGUUCGGAUUGGAGUCUGCAACUCGACUCCAUGAAGCUGGAUUCGCUAGUAAUCGUGGAUCAGCAAUGUCACGGUGAAUACGUUCCCGGGCCUUGUACACACCGCCCGUCAAGCCAUGGAAGUCGGGAGUACCUGAAGCCAGUAACCGUGAAGGAGCUGGUGAGGGUAAGCCCGGCAACUGGGGCUAAGUCGUAACAAGGUA
This 1483-nucleotide ribosomal RNA is filed under the name uncultured bacterium. RNAcentral's name for it is "bacterial SSU rRNA". It matches the Rfam family "Bacterial small subunit ribosomal RNA". The record is from RNAcentral.